Long non-coding RNA from Numida meleagris (helmeted guineafowl), 803 nucleotides. RefSeq lists it as uncharacterized. The transcript has 3 exons. NCBI's taxonomy places the organism in Eukaryota, Metazoa, Chordata, Aves, Galliformes, Numididae. The record is from RefSeq and is a predicted model, not a curated record.
CACCAGUUAAAGCCCAGCUGGGAUUCCACCCCCAGGACCCCUGGGGUGUGCUGCAGCACUGACCACUGGUGAUGACACUCAGUCUGAUCUUUUUCUUCAUCAGCUUCAAGGCAGCAACUUUACAAAGUGUUUGCCUAUAAGUGCGCAGAGGCCAGUGGAAACUGCCUGUUUGAAUCACCUCAGCAGGACCUUCAGAGAAGCUCUUAGAACCAGACAGCUCUGAUGACAGCACUAGAAGGACUGGAAUGCAGCUGGUGUUCACCCAGACUAUUUUCACGAGUGCAAGUCUUAAAGAGCUGCUUCUUACAUCGUUGGAAUUUCUAAAGAAGGAAGAAUAAAGACUGAAGCUGCAAGUUUUUGUUGCAAGCAAAACUACGACAAACUUUAUUUCCUGCCUUGUGGCCAUACACUCUCCCUCAGAAUGCCCUCAGAAGCAGAGUGGUUCUAAAGGUGGUUCUUAACCCAGCAUUUUUUUCAAGCCCCUUUAGUCUCAGUCUAAUUCUUACUGUUGGCACAUCUGUGCUCAUCGCAGGAGCGAAUGUCUCUCAGAGACAUGAGGUGGGGGCUCCUUUGGGCGAGUAACUCUCUCUGAGACUUCCUGCAGGCAUGAAAAGAGGCUUUAAUGCACUCGCCUUACUCAAGGGUUUAAGGAUCAUUGCCUGACACCAUACCAUCAUAGUCUGUAAGCUCAGAAGCCAAAAAGCCAUAUGUCUUCAGAUAAAUUUCCCUUCUAGAGGUUGCUGGGCCAUUAAAACAAAAAGCUAGUGGUGAUAAAUGUUACAUGUACACCCAGAUAAAUUACU